Molecule: non-coding RNA, 87 nt
Organism: Erwinia tracheiphila
Lineage: Bacteria; Pseudomonadati; Pseudomonadota; Gammaproteobacteria; Enterobacterales; Erwiniaceae
Source: Rfam
UUAGGUAUAGACAGUUCCCCUCUGGUCAGAGCACCAACUCCGUACCGGAAAGCAAUAAGCCCGAUCUCACCAGUCGGGCUUUUUUGC